Molecule: ribosomal RNA, 587 nt
Filed under: uncultured bacterium
Lineage: Bacteria
Description: bacterial SSU rRNA
Rfam family: Bacterial small subunit ribosomal RNA
Source: RNAcentral
CCUACGGGAGGCAGCAGUAGGGAAUCUUCCACAAUGGACGAAAGUCUGAUGGAGCAACGCCGCGUGAACGAUGAAGGCUUUCGGGUCGUAAAGUUCUGUUGUAAGGGAAGAACAAGUGCCGCAGGCAAUGGCGGCACCUUGACGGUACCUUGCGAGAAAGCCACGGCUAACUACGUGCCAGCAGCCGCGGUAAUACGUAGGCGGCAAGCGUUGUCCGGAAUUAUUGGGCGUAAAGCGCGCGCAGGCGGCCUCUUAAGUCUGAUGUGAAAGCCCCCGGCUCAACCGGGGAGGGCCAUUGGAAACUGGGAGGCUUGAGUAUAGGAGAGAAGAGUGGAAUUCCACGUGUAGCGGUGAAAUGCGUAGAGAUGUGGAGGAACACCAGUGGCGAAGGCGAUUCUUUGGCCUAUAACUGACGCUGAGGCGCGAAAGCGUGGGGAGCAAACAGGAUUAGAUACCCUGGUAGUCCACGCCGUAAACGAUGAGUGCUAGGUGUUGGAGGGUUUCCGCCCUUCAGUGCUGAAGCUAACGCAUUAAGCACUCCGCCUGGGGAGUACGGUCGCAAGGCUGAAACUCAAAUGAAUUGACGG